AGAGGUGAAAUUCGUAGAUAUUAGAAAGAAUACCAAUUGCGAAGGCAGCUUUCUGGAUCAUUACUGACACUGAGGAACGAAAGCAUGGGUAGCGAAGAGGAUUAGAUACCCUCGUAGUCCAUGCCGUAAACGAUGUGUGUUAGACGUUGGAAAUUUAUUUUCAGUGUCGCAGCGAAAGCGAUAAACACACCGCCUGGGGAGUACGACCGCAAGGUUAAAACUCAAAUGAAUUGACGGGGACCCGCACAAGUAGUGGAGCAUGUGGUUUAAUUCGAAGAUACGCGCAGAACCUUACCAACACUUGACAUGUUCGUCGCGACUUUAAGAGAUUAAAGUUUUCGGUUCGGCCGGACGAAACACAGGUGCUGCAUGGCUGUCGUCAGCUCGUGUCGUGAGAUGUUGGGUUAAGUCCCGCAACGAGCGCAACCCUCACUUUUAGUUGCCAUCAUUUAGUUGGGCACUCUGAAAGAACUGCCAGUGAUAAGCUGGAGGAAGGUGGGGAUGACGUCAAGUCCUCAUGGCCCUUACGUGUUGGGCUACACACGUGCUACAAUGGUAUCUACAACAGGAAGCAAAACGGCGACGUUAAGCAAAUCCUUAAAAGAUACCUCAGUUCGGAUUGCACUCUGCAACUCGAGUGCAUGAAGCUGGAAUUACUAGUAAUCGUGGAUCAGCGUGCCACGGUGAAUGCGUUCCCGGGUCUUGUACACACCGCCCGUCACACCAUGGGAGUUGGUUCUACCUUAAGGCAAGGUUUUAAACCCUUGACCACGGUAUAGUCAGCGACUGGGGUGAAGUCGUAACAAGGUAGCCGUA
Molecule: ribosomal RNA, 816 nt
Filed under: uncultured bacterium
Lineage: Bacteria
Description: bacterial SSU rRNA
Rfam family: Bacterial small subunit ribosomal RNA
Source: RNAcentral